GGAGAAGGGCGGUAGCUCAGUGGCAAAGCAUCUGCCUUGCGAAGCAGAAGGUGUCAAGUUCGAUUCCUGUCAUUUCCA
Podarcis lilfordi (Lilford's wall lizard) is the source of this 78-nucleotide non-coding RNA. The record is from the annotation of a GenBank genome assembly. NCBI's taxonomy places the organism in Eukaryota, Metazoa, Chordata, Lepidosauria, Squamata, Lacertidae.